RNAcentral lists this ribosomal RNA (253 nucleotides) under uncultured bacterium. RNAcentral's name for it is "partial 16S ribosomal RNA". It matches the Rfam family "Bacterial small subunit ribosomal RNA", at positions 524 to 776 of the family's 1533-position model. The record is from RNAcentral.
GACGGAAGGUGCAAGCGUUGCUCGGAAUCACUGGGCGUAAAGGGUGCGUAGGCGGCUUGGUGGGUCUGGUGUGAAAGCCCCGGGCUCAGCCCGGGAAGGGCGCUAGAAACUGCCGAGCUCGAGUGCCGGAGGGGAGAGUGGAAUUCCUGGUGUAGCGGUGAAAUGCGUAGAUAUCUGGAGGAACACCGGUGGCGAAGGCGGCAACCUGGACCAACACUGACACUGAGGAGCGAAAGCCAGGGGAGCAAACAGG